CAGGAGAGGAGGGAGUGAGAGCUGCUGUUUCAUUUAAGGUAAAAUUUGGUUACAGAAUGAUCAGUUUCUGCUGUCUAAGAAGUCUAAUAAUUAAUCUUGUGGUAUACCAGGCAAGCUAAGUGUGUAGAGCAUGACCCCAAGGAAGGAAACACUCACAUUUGUAUAGCAGC
This 170-nucleotide long non-coding RNA is filed under the name Phascolarctos cinereus (koala). RNAcentral's name for it is "lncRNA (ENSPCIG00000023968.2)". The record is from RNAcentral. Lineage: Eukaryota; Metazoa; Chordata; Mammalia; Diprotodontia; Phascolarctidae.